Molecule: ribosomal RNA, 1290 nt
Filed under: Lactiplantibacillus plantarum
Lineage: Bacteria; Bacillati; Bacillota; Bacilli; Lactobacillales; Lactobacillaceae
Description: bacterial SSU rRNA
Rfam family: Bacterial small subunit ribosomal RNA
Source: RNAcentral
UCGAACGAACUCUGGUAUUGAUUGGUGCUUGCAUCAUGAUUUACAUUUGAGUGAGUGGCGAACUGGUGAGUAACACGUGGGAAACCUGCCCAGAAGCGGGGGAUAACACCUGGAAACAGAUGCUAAUACCGCAUAACAACUUGGACCGCAUGGUCCGAGUUUGAAAGAUGGCUUCGGCUAUCACUUCUGGAUGGUCCCGCGGCGUAUUAGCUAGAUGGUGAGGUAACGGCUCACCAUGGCAAUGAUACGUAGCCGACCUGAGAGGGUAAUCGGCCACAUUGGGACUGAGACACGGCCCAAACUCCUACGGGAGGCAGCAGUAGGGAAUCUUCCACAAUGGACGAAAGUCUGAUGGAGCAACGCCGCGUGAGUGAAGAAGGGUUUCGGCUCGUAAAACUCUGUUGUUAAAGAAGAACAUAUCUGAGAGUAACUGUUCAGGUAUUGACGGUAUUUAACCAGAAAGCCACGGCUAACUACGUGCCAGCAGCCGCGGUAAUACGUAGGUGGCAAGCGUUGUCCGGAUUUAUUGGGCGUAAAGCGAGCGCAGGCGGUUUUUUAAGUCUGAUGUGAAAGCCUUCGGCUCAACCGAAGAAGUGCAUCGGAAACUGGGAAACUUGAGUGCAGAAGAGGACAGUGGAACUCCAUGUGUAGCGGUGAAAUGCGUAGAUAUAUGGAAGAACACCAGUGGCGAAGGCGGCUGUCUGGUCUGUAACUGACGCUGAGGCUCGAAAGUAUGGGUAGCAAACAGGAUUAGAUACCCUGGUAGUCCAUACCGUAAACGAUGAAUGCUAAGUGUUGGAGGGUUUCCGCCCUUCAGUGCUGCAGCUAACGCAUUAAGCAUUCCGCCUGGGGAGUACGGCCGCAAGGCUGAAACUCAAAGGAAUUGACGGGGGCCCGCACAAGCGGUGGAGCAUGUGGUUUAAUUCGAAGCUACGCGAAGAACCUUACCAGGUCUUGACAUACUAUGCAAAUCUAAGAGAUUAGACGUUCCCUUCGGGGACAUGGAUACAGGUGGUGCAUGGUUGUCGUCAGCUCGUGUCGUGAGAUGUUGGGUUAAGUCCCGCAACGAGCGCAACCCUUAUUAUCAGUUGCCAGCAUUAAGUUGGGCACUCUGGUGAGACUGCCGGUGACAAACCGGAGGAAGGUGGGGAUGACGUCAAAUCAUCAUGCCCCUUAUGACCUGGGCUACACACGUGCUACAAUGGAUGGUACAACGAGUUGCGAACUCGCGAGAGUAAGCUAAUCUCUUAAAGCCAUUCUCAGUUCGGAUUGUAGGCUGCAACUCGCCUA